CCAAAGGCUCUUUUCAGAGCCACCUACGAAAACACUGGGAGGAGCU
This is a non-coding RNA of Cricetulus griseus (Chinese hamster), 46 nucleotides long. NCBI's taxonomy places the organism in Eukaryota, Metazoa, Chordata, Mammalia, Rodentia, Cricetidae. The record is from Rfam.